RNAcentral lists this ribosomal RNA (406 nucleotides) under uncultured bacterium. RNAcentral describes it as "partial 16S ribosomal RNA". It matches the Rfam family "Bacterial small subunit ribosomal RNA", at positions 30 to 526 of the family's 1533-position model. The record is from RNAcentral.
AUUGAACGCUGGCGGCAGGCCUAACACAUGCAAGUCGAGCGAGCGGCGGACGGGUGUGUAAUGUCUGGGACACUGCCUGAUGGAGGGGGAUAACUACUGGAAACGUUAGCUAAUACCGCUUACCAUCAGAUUUGCCCAGAUGUGAUUAGCUGGUAGGUGGGGUAAUGGCUCACCUGGGCGAAGAUCCCUAGCUGGUCUGAGAGGAGGACCGGCCACACGGGAACUGAGACACGGUCCAGACUCCUACGGGAGGCAGAGGUGGGGAAUAUUGCACAAUGGGGGCAAGCCUGAUGCAGACAGGCGGCGUGUGUGAAGAAGGCCUUCGGGUUGUAAAGCACUUUCAGCGAGGAGGCGUUAAUCGCAGAAGAAGCACCGGCUAACUCCGUGCCAGCAGCCGCGGUAAUUC